CCUACGGGCGGCAGCAGUGAGGAAUAUUGGUCAAUGGACGAGAGCCUGAACCAGCCAAGCAGCGUGAAGGAUGACUGCCCUAUGGGUUGUAAACUUCUUUUAUAUGGGAAUAAAAUGUUCCACGUGUGGGAUUUUGUAUGUACCAUAUGAAUAAGGAUCGGCUAACUCCGUGCCAGCAGCCGCGGUAAUACGGAGGAUCCGAGCGUUAUCCGGAUUUAUUGGGUUUAAAGGGAGCGUAGGUGGAUUGUUAAGUCAGUUGUGAAAGUUUGCGGCUCAACCGUAAAAUUGCAAUUGAAACUGGCAGUCUUGAGUACAGUAGAGGUGGGCGGAAGUCGUGGUGUAGCGGUGAAAUGCUUAGAUAUCAGGAGGAACACCGGUGGCGAAGGCGGCCUACUGGACUGCAACUGACGUUGAGGCCCGAAAGCGUGGGUAGCAAACAGGAUUAGAUACCCGGGUAGUC
Molecule: ribosomal RNA, 460 nt
Filed under: uncultured bacterium
Lineage: Bacteria
Description: partial 16S ribosomal RNA
Rfam family: Bacterial small subunit ribosomal RNA
Source: RNAcentral